Long non-coding RNA from Callithrix jacchus (white-tufted-ear marmoset), 1446 nucleotides. RefSeq lists it as uncharacterized. The record is from RefSeq and is a predicted model, not a curated record. Lineage: Eukaryota; Metazoa; Chordata; Mammalia; Primates; Cebidae.
GUGAUCUCCACUUGACUCCUUCCCGCUUUCAUUUGGUUGUAAAUACCACAAUUUAAACUAGCUGCCUGCUGCUGUGACCCUGCGUGGGAGGUUGUCUUGACAGAAGUGGCAGGCCUCCCUGGCCCCUCCCUCCUCCAGUAAACAACCAAAUUGCCUGAAAAUACAGUUGACCCUUGAACAACCUAAGUUUGAACGGCAUGAGUCCACUAUGCUUGGAUUUUCGUCUGCCUCUGCCACUCCUGAGACAGCAAGACCAACUCCUCCUCUUCCUCUUCCUCCUCAGCCUCCACAACUUGAAGACCAUGAGGAUGAAGAACUGGAUGACGAUCCGCUUCCACUUAAUGAAUAGCAAAUAUAUUUUCUCUUCCUUAUGAUUUUCUUAAUAACAUUUUUUUCUUUGGCUUUCUUUAUUAUAAGAAUACAGUAUCUAAUACACAUAAUGUACAAAAUAUGUGUUACUUGGCUGUUUAUGCUAUUGCUAAGGCUUCUGGUCAAUAGUAGGAUGUUGGAAGUUAAGUUUUAGAGGAGUCAAAAGUUAUACUCAGAUUCUCACCUGCACUGGGCUGGGUCCCCCUGACCCCAUGCUGUUCAGGUUUCCUCUGUAAUGGUGAUUUUCUGUAUCCUUUUACAGCUCUCAUUUCUUUCUCUUGUGUAAUUGUUUUGACCAGUGAGCAGAAAGAAAAGAGUUAACACAGGCGACCUGAAACUGCUUUUUUUAGAAAGUCCUGCUUGCAAGGUUGGCCCUUGGCUGGUGUCUGGAAACAGAUUUUGGGAGGGGUACACCAUUAACUGACUGAUAAGCGUGACUCACUGUUCCUAAAUUAUACAAACAGAAGAGUCCAUGCUGAGCGUCUCUUUUCUUCUGAGAUUCUGGAAUUUGGGUAUUUGCCAGGCAGAGGUGCUGUGUGACCAAACCCCAAUAAAAACUCUGAGUUCUGAGUCUUUUUUUUUGAGAGGGGACAUUGUUCUGUUGCCCAGGCUCAAGUGCAGUGGCCAGUCUUGUCUCAUUGCAGCCUUGACCUCCCAGGCUCAAAGGAUCCUCCCUGCUCAGCCUCCGGAGUAGCUGGGACUCGAGUUGUACUCCACCACCCCCGGUUAAUUUUUGUACUUUUUUGUAGAGACAAGAGAUCGGAUUUCGCCAUGUUGCUCAGGCUGGUCUUAAACUCCAGGGCUCAAACGAUCCUCCUGCCUUAGCCACCCAAAGUGCUGGGAUUACUGGUGUGAGCCACCCUGCUUGGCAGGGUACUGAGUCUUUAAUGGGCUUCCCUAUUUGGGCUGCAUCUUGAAUGUGUUGUCACAACUCCUUGCUGGGGGAAUGACUCCCUGGGUGAGGACCCUUGGAACCUUGUGCCUGAUUCUCUCUUGAGCUUCCCCUUGAUCUCUUCCUUUUGCUGAUUGUGCUUGCAACCCUUUUGCUGUAAUAAACCUGUGUACUGGGUCUUGUAA